UAUAUAUAUAUAUAUAUAUACACCGCAAAAUGCGAAAUUCAUUAAGCAAUAGCGGAAACAUCAACUCGGAGUAGAGAAGAAGAAAAUCAGGUGCUUCCUCAUUAUUUUCUAAAAAAAUUAUUACCUUUCCAAUUUUUUAGUGUUGCUUGCGGUAAAAAUAUACAAAAUUAUAAUUGAUAACACAUUUUAUUAUGAAAUUAAUGAAAAAAUAGAAUAAAAAUUUCACUCUAAAAAUUUUGACUCUGCGAAAAUAACAUAUAUUUUAAAACAGCCAAAAACAUAAGAGAUAUAUCUGAAAGUUAUAAUUCUCUUAUUAAUUUACUAUAUCACGUAAACCAUUUUAUAUGAAAUUACUAAUGUAAUAUAAAAUUAUCCAUUUAUGGGACAGAGAGAAUACUUAACAGGGGAUUAAGGCUCUGUGCGAGUUUUUCAAAUUACAAAUCUGGGACAUUUUGCCCCCACAGAGAAUGGAUUCCCUUGUUGAAAGUAGUAGAGAAUGCGAUUCUGUGGAAUCUCCUCGUCAAUCGGCAUCGCUCUGCUGGCGUCCAUCGGCAUUAUCGUCUGUUUUCG
This 570-nucleotide unclassified non-coding RNA is filed under the name Hevea brasiliensis (rubber tree). The record is from RNAcentral. Lineage: Eukaryota; Viridiplantae; Streptophyta; Magnoliopsida; Malpighiales; Euphorbiaceae.